CCUACGGGAGGCAGCAGUGGGGAAUCUUCCGCAAUGGACGAAAGUCGUCGGAGCGACGCCGCGGAACGAGACGGCAUUCGGGUGUAAAGUUCUUUAUACGGACGAAGGUCGACGCCGAUAACCGUCGAAAGUGACGGUACCGGGAGAGAAAGCCAAGGCUAACUA
RNAcentral lists this ribosomal RNA (165 nucleotides) under bacterium H1. Its description in RNAcentral is "partial 16S ribosomal RNA". It matches the Rfam family "Bacterial small subunit ribosomal RNA", at positions 338 to 503 of the family's 1533-position model. The record is from RNAcentral.